CCUUACUCUAGAGGUAUUGCAGGUGUGAUUGAUAGGUCACAUGCGUAUUAGUAGGUGGCAGAGAGAUUAGAGAUCAUGUCUAUACUCAGUCUUCUGACCUGUGAACAUCUGAAUGAUCAGUAGCCUAACAUU
Molecule: small nucleolar RNA, 132 nt
Organism: Meriones unguiculatus (Mongolian gerbil)
Lineage: Eukaryota; Metazoa; Chordata; Mammalia; Rodentia; Muridae
Source: Ensembl